This 457-nucleotide ribosomal RNA is filed under the name uncultured Salinisphaera sp. RNAcentral describes it as "bacterial SSU rRNA". It matches the Rfam family "Bacterial small subunit ribosomal RNA", at positions 30 to 505 of the family's 1533-position model. Lineage: Bacteria; Pseudomonadati; Pseudomonadota; Gammaproteobacteria; Salinisphaerales; Salinisphaeraceae. The record is from RNAcentral.
AUUGAACGCUGGCGGCAGGCCUAACACAUGCAAGUCGAGCGGAAACGACAUCUUCGGAUGGGCGUCGAGCGGCGGACGGGUGAGUAAUGCGUAGAUAUCUGCCUUUUAGUGGAGGAUAACCUGGGGAAACUCAGGCUAAUACUGCAUAAUCUCUACGGAGCAAAGCGGAGGAUCUUCGGACUUCGCGCUAUUAGAUGAGUCUACGUCUGAUUAGCUAGUUGGUGCGGUAACGGCGUACCAAGGCAACGAUCAGUAGCUGGUCUGAGAGGAUGAUCAGCCACACCGGGACUGAGACACGGCCCGGACUCCUACGGGAGGCAGCAGUGGGGAAUAUUGGACAAUGGGCGAAAGCCUGAUCUAGCCAUGCCGCGUGAGUGAUGAAGGCCUUAGGGUCGUAAAGCUCUUUCGCCUGUGAUGAUAAUGACAGUACCUGGUAAAGAAACCCCGGCUAACUCCG